This 332-nucleotide ribosomal RNA is filed under the name uncultured bacterium. RNAcentral describes it as "bacterial SSU rRNA". It matches the Rfam family "Bacterial small subunit ribosomal RNA", at positions 568 to 898 of the family's 1533-position model. The record is from RNAcentral.
CGUGUAGGCGGUUUGGUAAGUCUGAUGUGAAAGCCCCGGGCUCAACCUGGGAAGUGCAUUGGAAACUGUCAGACUUGAAUACGGGAGAGGGUAGUGGAACUCCUGGUGUAGGAGUGAAAUCCGUAGAUAUCAGGAGGAACACCGGUGGCGAAGGCGGCUGCCUGGACCGAUAUUGACGCUGAGACGCGAAAGCGUGGGUAGCAAACAGGAUUAGAUACCCUGGUAGUCCACGCCGUAAACGAUGAGUACUAGGUGUUGCGGGUAUUGACCCCUGCAGUGCCGCAGCUAACGCAUUAAGUACUCCGCCUGGGAAGUACGGUCGCAAGACUAAA